Molecule: ribosomal RNA, 521 nt
Filed under: uncultured bacterium
Lineage: Bacteria
Description: bacterial SSU rRNA
Rfam family: Bacterial small subunit ribosomal RNA
Source: RNAcentral
AGAGUUUGAUCAUGGCUCAGGAUGAACGCUAGCGACAGGCCUAACACAUGCAAGUCGAGGGGCAGCACAAGGAGCAAUCGUGAGGUGGCGACCGGCGCACGGGUGAGUAACACGUAUGCAACCCUGGCCUGGUAAGAGGGGGAAUAACCCGGAGAAAUCCGGACUAAUACCGCAUAAUACUUAGAAUCCGCAUGGAUUUUAAGUUAAACAUUUAUGGCUUACAGAUGGGCAUGCGUAUGAUUAGCUGGUUGGAGAGGUAACGGCUCCCCAAGGCAACGAUCAUUAGGGGUUCUGAGAGGAAGGUCCCCCACACUGGUACUGAGACACGGACCAGACUCCUACGGGAGGCAGCAGUGAGGAAUAUUGGUCAAUGGACGCAAGUCUGAACCAAGCCAAGUCGCGUGAAGGAAGAAUGUCCUAUGGAUUGUAAACUUCUUUUGGAGGGGAAUAAAGUACGGUACGUGUACCGUUUCGUAUGUACCCUUCGAAUAAGGAUCGGCUAACUCCGUGCCAGCCGCUGC